Molecule: unclassified non-coding RNA, 231 nt
Filed under: soil metagenome
Description: partial internal transcribed spacer 1
Source: RNAcentral
UUGAAUUUUAAUGAAAAGUUUGGUUGUAGCUGGCCCAUUCAUUUGGGCAUGUGCACACCUUCCUCUUUCAUCCCACACACACCUGUGAACCUGUGAGACAGAGAUGGGGAAUUUACUUGCUGCUUUUGGAAUACAAAGGCAAUAGGCUAUUGGACCCCCCCUCUGUCUACUCAAUUAAUAUAAACUCAAUUUAUUUUAAAACGAAUGUAAUGGAUGUAACACAUCUCAUAC